UUCCUGGGUCUGCAGCAAAAUCUAGGUGGUUGGAACUCUUCAAAUUUUGGCAAAGGAAUGAUCAUAGGUAUGAUUGACAGUGGCAUCAAGUUUGAUCAUCCUUCGUUUAGCGACGAAGGUAUGCCUGCACCUCCUGCAAAAUGGAAAGGCAAGUGUGAGAUCAAUGGUAAGAUGACUUGUAACAAUAAGCUCAUUGGUGCUAGAAGCUUUCCCACUGCGGGGAAUCUUUCAGAAGAGGUUUUCCAUGGAACUCAUACCGCUGCAGAAGCUGCUGGAACUGCUGUGGAAGGUGCCAAUGUGUUUGGACAAGCUAAUGGGACAGCAAUGGGGAUCGCCCCGUUUGCCCACUUGGCGAUGUACAAGGUCUGUGUAACUAGUUUUGAA
Molecule: long non-coding RNA, 384 nt
Filed under: Linum usitatissimum (flax)
Lineage: Eukaryota; Viridiplantae; Streptophyta; Magnoliopsida; Malpighiales; Linaceae
Description: long non-coding RNA (LUSI_LNC006060)
Source: RNAcentral